RNAcentral lists this ribosomal RNA (456 nucleotides) under uncultured Sphingobacteriales bacterium. Its description in RNAcentral is "bacterial SSU rRNA". It matches the Rfam family "Bacterial small subunit ribosomal RNA", at positions 925 to 1382 of the family's 1533-position model. Lineage: Bacteria; Pseudomonadati; Bacteroidota; Sphingobacteriia; Sphingobacteriales. The record is from RNAcentral.
ACAAGCGGAGGAGCAUGUGGUUAAUUCGAUGAUACGCGAGGAACCGUUACCUGGGCUCGAACGUAAGAUGACUGUAGGUGAAAGCUUACAUCUCUUCGGAGCAUUUUACGAGGUGCUGCAUGGUUGUCGUCAGCUCGUGCCGUGAGGUGUCGGGUUAAGUCCCAUAACGAGCGCAACCCCUACCUUUAGUUGCCAUCAGGUUAAGCUGGGGACUCUAAAGGAACUGCCUACGCAAGUAGUGAGGAAGCGGGGAUGACGUCAAAUCAGCACGGCCCUUACGUCCAGGGCUACACACGUGCUACAAUGGCCGAUACAGAGGGCAGCUACCUGGUGACAGGAUGCAAAUCUCCAAAGUCGGUCUCAGUUCGGAUCGGAGUCUGCAACCCGACUCCGUGAAGUUGGAUUCGCUAGUAAUCGCGCAUCAGCCAUGGCGCGGUGAAUACGUUCCCGGGCCUU